This 1311-nucleotide long non-coding RNA is filed under the name Homo sapiens (human). Its description in RNAcentral is "HSALNT0300516". Lineage: Eukaryota; Metazoa; Chordata; Mammalia; Primates; Hominidae. The record is from RNAcentral.
CCCCGCCCCGCGCACCGCGCUUCCUCCCUUUCUUUCCCUUCCUGCGUCUGUCCCGCUCCGCUUUCUCCUCUGCGCCCCUUCCUCGCCCGCCCUCGCCUCCUCCCCCUGGCGAGGUUCUCUGAGGCGAAUAGCCGGGCGCGCGGUCACGGCCGAGCUCCUGCUGGGGGAGGGGAGACGCACCCAGGCCGGGUCCUUCCGCGCGCCCCCUGCCCCUCCCGCCGGACCCCGCGGACUACCCCGCGGCCCCGAGGCGGAACCCCAGACGCCGGGCCCAGCGCACCGUGCGCUGGGGGGGAGCCCGGCCGCGCCCCCCGCCGCGGCCCCCGCUGACUCAGCGCGCAGCUAUGCGGGCCUCGCCUCACCCGCGCCCAAAUAAUAGCGACCGAGCUCGGCGCCCGCGAGGGGCCGCAGGGCCGGGGGUUUCGAGGCGAGCCUGAGAGGGGGCCCUGGGUGUCUGGGAUUCCGAAUUAGCGGAGGCGGGUGGAAUCCUAGUCCUGGGGCAGGAGGGCCUGGGAUCCUGAAAGCGUUUCUGCCCGGCUUAGACACUAACCACUUCAAGAGAACGGGAGAGCACCGGAAAAAGGCUUUCCAGCCGCAGGCCUUCGCGGGGUCUUCUCCUUUUGGGGGGCGGAAGAGGGGUGGUUAUCGGGACCGUUCCGCCGCAUUCCUGCCCUCUCGGCGGCCGGUGCCAUCGCUUAGAUCCGCCCAGGGCGCAAUCCGAAAAUUAUGUGCCAAGAGCUAUAAAACCGUUCAUAGAGCCCCUUUGACCCAGUAAACCCAUUUAAGGAAGUACAUUUCCAAGGAAAUGAUCCAAAGGGCGAAGAAGGGGGAGAACUUGCAGAAAGAUGUUAACAGCAGGGCUAUUCACAAUGUUCGUGAUGACCAAAACCUGGGAAUGGGCCCAGUUGUCCAACAAUUGAGUAACCCAAACAGGCGCCUUCACAUUAACAGCAAGAAUCCUGGCAGGUGAUGUAAUGAGGACUCAUAUAUAUGCACAUGGAGUGAAUAAAUGAAUUAAGGAAUGGAUGGGUGAAAACAACGAACUGUGAAUGGUCCAGCCAUCACCAAUAAGACACGUAACAACUUUUCCCAUCUCGCUUCACGCUGCCAGGCAACGCAGGCUGGCAUUGUUGUAGUGAGUUGCUUCUGUUCCACACAAGCCAGGAUUUAAUAACAGAAUAAAGGAAUGAACUCGCAAUACAAAGGUGUCAUUAUCUUUGUAAACUCCUCUACUAUAAAGGGUACAGGGUUUAAUGGUUUAUGAAAUAGAGUUUCAUCCUAAGUUUCAUUCAUGGUUCUGGUAAUAAUUCC